AUGGCGUUCAUGGCGGCCAUGAUCACUGCCAUCGCCUCGGCUGUCUCGGUGUUGUUGCUGAGGGCGCUAUGGGUGACCCUAUCUUGCUACUUCCUGACGCCAAUGAGUAUCCGUAGAACCAUGGCGGCGCAGGGUGUUCACGGUCCCUCGCCGCGCCCGCUCGUCGGCAACCUACGCCAGGUGUCGGCCCUCGUUGCGGAGGCGAACGCCGGCGCCAUGACGUCCCUGAGCCACGACAUCGUCGGCCGCCUCAUGCCCCAUUACGUGCUCUGGUCGGAGACAUACGGGAAGCUCUUCGUGUACUGGUACGGGAGCGAGCCGCGGCUGUGCCUGACGGACACGGACAUGAUCAAGGAGUUCCUGUCGUCCAAGUACGCCCACGCCACCGGCAAGUCGUGGCUGCAGCGGCAGGGUACGAAGAACUUCAUCGGCCGCGGCCUGCUCAUGGCCAACGGCGCCAGGUGGUCCCACCAGCGGCACGUCGUCGCGCCGGCGUUCAUGCCUGACAAGCUCAAGGGGCGUGUGGGGCACAUGGUGGAGUGCACGAAGCAGACGAUCCUGUCGCUGCGGGAUGCGGCGGCGCGGGGCCGCGGCGAGGUGGAGAUCGGCGGCCACAUGACCCGGCUCACCGGCGACAUCAUCUCCCGGACCGAGUUCGACACCAGCUACGAGACCGGCAAGCGCAUCUUCCACCUCCUCGAGGACUUGCAGCGCCUCACCGCGCGCUCCAGCCGCUACCUCUGGAUCCCCGGCAGCCAGUACUUCCCGAGCAAGUACAGGAGGGAGAUCGGGCGGCUGAACGGCGAGCUGGAGGGCGUCGUCAUGGAGUCCAUCCGCCGGAGCCGCGAGAUCGCCGACGAGGGCCGGACGACCUCCACCUACGGCCGGGGGCUCCUCGCCAUGCUGCUCGCGGAGAUGGAGAAGAAGAGGGAGAAGGGUGCAGGCGACGACGGCAAGUUCAGCUACGACACGCGGCUGGUGAUCGACGAGUGCAAGACCUUCUUCUUCGCCGGCCACGAGACGUCGGCGCUGCUGCUCACCUGGACGCUCAUGCUGCUCGCCACGCACCCGGAGUGGCAGGACAAGGCCCGCGCCGAGGUCUCCCAGGUCUGCGGCGACGACCCGCCGUCCGCCGACCAGCUCUCCAAAUUGACCGUGCUCCAGAUGAUCAUCCACGAGACGCUGCGGCUGUACCCGCCGGCGACGCUGCUGCCGCGGAUGGCGUUCGAGGACAUUCGGCUCGGCGAUCUCCACCUGCCGCGCGGGCUCUCGGUAUGGAUACCCGUGCUGGCAAUCCACCACGACGAGUCCAUCUGGGGCGCCGACGCGCAUGAGUUCCACCCGGAGCGGUUCGCCGCCGGGCGGCGCUCAUCCGCGGGCGCCGGCCGGUUCCUGCCGUUCGCGGCCGGGCCGCGCAACUGCGUCGGGCAGGCGUACGCCCUCUUCGAGGCCAAGGUCGUCCUCGCCAUGCUGCUGGCCAACUUCCGCUUCACCAUCUCCGAUGACUACCGCCACGCGCCGGUCAACGUGCUCACCCUCCGCCCCAAGUACGGCGUGCCCGUCCAUCUCCGGCCGCUCCGGCCGUAG
RNAcentral lists this ribosomal RNA (1587 nucleotides) under Triticum aestivum (bread wheat). RNAcentral's name for it is "partial small subunit ribosomal RNA". The record is from RNAcentral. Lineage: Eukaryota; Viridiplantae; Streptophyta; Magnoliopsida; Poales; Poaceae.